This 497-nucleotide ribosomal RNA is filed under the name uncultured bacterium. RNAcentral's name for it is "partial 16S ribosomal RNA". It matches the Rfam family "Bacterial small subunit ribosomal RNA", at positions 28 to 507 of the family's 1533-position model. The record is from RNAcentral.
GAUGAACGCAGGCGGCGUGCCUAAUACAUGCAAGUCGAGCGAACGGACGAGAAGCUUGCUUCUCUGAUGUUAGCGGCGGACGGGUGAGUAACACGUGGAUAACCUACCUAUAAGACUGGGAUAACUUCGGGAAACCGGAGCUAAUACCGGAUAAUAUUUUGAACCGCAUGGUUCAAAAGUGAAAGACGGUCUUGCUGUCACUUAUAGAUGGAUCCGCGCUGCAUUAGCUAGUUGGUAAGGUAACGGCUUACCAAGGCAACGAUGCAUAGCCGACCUGAGAGGGUGAUCGGCCACACUGGAACUGAGACACGGUCCAGACUCCUACGGGAGGCAGCAGUAGGGAAUCUUCCGCAAUGGGCGAAAGCCUGACGGAGCAACGCCGCGUGAGUGAUGAAGGUCUUCGGAUCGUAAACCUCUGUUAUUAGGGAAGAACAUAUGUGUAAGUAACUGUGCACAUCUUGACGGUACCUAAUCAGAAAGCCACGGCUAACUACGUG